Lucilia sericata (common green bottle fly) is the source of this 563-nucleotide long non-coding RNA. RefSeq lists it as uncharacterized. The transcript is spliced from 2 exons. The record is from RefSeq and is a predicted model, not a curated record. Lineage: Eukaryota; Metazoa; Arthropoda; Insecta; Diptera; Calliphoridae.
GCUUUUAAGUAUUUUUUCCUUACUUUCUCCUCUUUCUUCUACAGGUCCUACGGCUAUGGAGUUGGCAGGUGUUGCAGUGGGGUUUCCGUCGUCCGUAUUCUGUCCAGGUCCGGGUAAUUCAGGUCAGUUUGCAAAAAUUUUAAAUAUCUUUUAAAUAAUUAUUUAUAUAUAUUUAUUUUUUUUUUUACAUAUAUAUACGUAUAAAAAUACUGAGCUACUGGGUGCAAAUCUGCCGCAAAUUCUUCUAAAAAACUAGGCCUGAGCUCAACCCUAACGUCGCGCACGCUUGGCGGUAAUUUUUGGCCAGCGGUCUGGUCCGAUUCUAACCAAUGGUACUGUCAGUCCGUCUUGUCGUUCAGGGUCAAAAAUCUUUAUGGUCGAAACCUUUGGUAUACCUGCGCACCCCAGGAUUGGCAGUGCGGAGCCGAUGUUCCCAAAUGAAAGAUCCCACGUUGGAAGUCGGCAGAGGUGGCGUUGAAAUAUUUGUAUAACCUUUUUUUUUCGGUGUUCAAUUUAUAUAAUUUAUAUUAUAUUGUUUGAUUUAAAUAAAGACUUUAAAAAUG